This 119-nucleotide ribosomal RNA is filed under the name Pteropus alecto (black flying fox). Lineage: Eukaryota; Metazoa; Chordata; Mammalia; Chiroptera; Pteropodidae. The record is from RNAcentral.
GUCUACGGCCAUGCCACCCUGAACGUGCCUGAUCCCAUCUGAUCUCAGAAGCUAAGCGACGUCGGGCCUGGUUAGUACUUGGAUGGGAGACCAACUAGGAAGACCAGGCUCUGUAGGCG